RNAcentral lists this ribosomal RNA (492 nucleotides) under uncultured bacterium. RNAcentral's name for it is "partial 16S ribosomal RNA". It matches the Rfam family "Bacterial small subunit ribosomal RNA", at positions 30 to 507 of the family's 1533-position model. The record is from RNAcentral.
AUUGAACGCUGGCGGUAUGCCUUACACAUGCAAGUCGAACGGCAACAGGGUAUCGGAUGCCGACGAGGGGCGGACGGUGGAGUAAUACAUCGGAAUGCGCCCAAAUGUACGGUUUAGUGGGGCGUAACGUUGGCUAAUAUCCGAUAAUACCGCAUGCGGAAUACGGGUGACAGCAGGGGAUCUUCGGAUCUGGCGCGCUGGAGUGAGCCGAUGUCGGAUUAGGUAGUUGGUGGGAUAAAGGCGUACCAAGGCGACGAUCCGUAGCUGGUCUGAGAGGACGACCAGCCACACUGGAACUGAGACACGGCCCAGACUCCUACGGGAGGCAGCAGUGGGGAAUUUUGGACAAUGGGCGAAAGCCUGAUCCAGCAAUGCCGCGUGCAGGAUGAAGGCCUUCGGGUUGUAAACUGCUUUUGUACGGAAAGAAAAGGCUCUGGCUAAUACCUGGGGCAUAUGACGGUACCGUAAGAAUAAGCACCGGCUAACUACGUG